Molecule: ribosomal RNA, 400 nt
Filed under: uncultured bacterium
Lineage: Bacteria
Description: bacterial SSU rRNA
Rfam family: Bacterial small subunit ribosomal RNA
Source: RNAcentral
UAGGGAAUAUUGGACAAUGGGCGAAAGCCUGAUCCAGCAAUGCCGCGUGAGUGAUGAAGGCCUUAGGGUUGUAAAGCUCUUUUACCCGGGAUGAUAAUGACAGUACCGGGAGAAUAAGCUCCGGCUAACUCCGUGCCAGCAGCCGCGGUAAUACGGAGGGAGCUAGCGUUGUUCGGAAUUACUGGGCGUAAAGCGCACGUAGGCGGCUAUUCAAGUCAGAGGUGAAAGCCCGGGGCUCAACCCCGGAACUGCCUUUGAAACUAGAUAGCUUGAAUCCAGGAGAGGUGAGUGGAAUUCCGAGUGUAGAGGUGAAAUUCGUAGAUAUUCGGAAGAACACCAGUGGCGAAGGCGGCUCACUGGACUGGUAUUGACGCUGAGGUGCGAAAGCGUGGGGAGCAAA